GAUGAACGCUGGCGGCGUGCUUAACACAUGCAAGUCGAACGGAAAGGCCCAAGCUUGCUUGGGUGCUCGAGUGGCGAACGGGUGAGUAACACGUGGGUGAUCUGCCCUGCACUUUGGGAUAAGCCUGGGAAACUGGGUCUAAUACCGGAUAGGACCAUCGUUUAGUGUCGGUGGUGGAAAGUUUUUCGGUGUGGGGUGAGCUCGCGGCCUAUCAGCUUGUUGGUGGGGUAAUGGCCUACCAAGGCGUCGACGGGUAGCCGGCCUGAGAGGGUGUACGGCCACAUUGGGACUGAGAUACGGCCCAGACUCCUACGGGAGGCAGCAGUGGGGAAUAUUGCACAAUGGGCGCAAGCCUGAUGCAGCGACGCCGCGUGGGGGAUGACGGCCUUCGGGUUGUAAACUCCUUUCGCCAAGGACGAAGCGUUUUGUGACGGUACUUGGAGAAGAAGCACCGGCUAACUACGUG
This 466-nucleotide ribosomal RNA is filed under the name uncultured bacterium. RNAcentral's name for it is "partial 16S ribosomal RNA". It matches the Rfam family "Bacterial small subunit ribosomal RNA", at positions 28 to 507 of the family's 1533-position model. The record is from RNAcentral.